UGGGGAAUUUUGGACAAUGGGGGAAACCCUGAUCCAGCCAUCCCGCGUGUGCGAUGAAGGCCUUCGGGUUGUAAAGCACUUUUGGCAGGAAAGAAACGUCAUGGGUUAAUACCCCGUGAAACUGACGGUACCUGCAGAAUAAGCACCGGCUAACUACGUGCCAGCAGCCGCGGUAAUACGUAGGGUGCAAGCGUUAAUCGGAAUUACUGGGCGUAAAGCGUGCGCAGGCGGUUCGGAAAGAAAGAUGUGAAAUCCCAGAGCUCAACUUUGGAACUGCAUUUUUAACUGCCGGGCUAGAGUGUGUCGGAGGGAGGUGGAAUUCCGCGUGUAGCAGUGAAAUGCGUAGAUAUGCGGAGGAACACCGAUGGCGAAGGCAGCCUCCUGGGAUAACACUGACGCUCAUGCACGAAAGCGUGGGGAGCAAACAGG
RNAcentral lists this ribosomal RNA (429 nucleotides) under Acidobacteriota bacterium. Its description in RNAcentral is "Acidobacteria bacterium partial 16S ribosomal RNA". It matches the Rfam family "Bacterial small subunit ribosomal RNA", at positions 355 to 776 of the family's 1533-position model. Lineage: Bacteria; Pseudomonadati; Acidobacteriota. The record is from RNAcentral.